RNAcentral lists this ribosomal RNA (497 nucleotides) under uncultured bacterium. RNAcentral describes it as "partial 16S ribosomal RNA". It matches the Rfam family "Bacterial small subunit ribosomal RNA", at positions 28 to 507 of the family's 1533-position model. The record is from RNAcentral.
GAUGAACGCUGGCGGCGUGCCUAAUACAUGCAAGUCGAGCGAACAGACGAGGAGCUUGCUCCUCUGACGUUAGCGGCGGACGGGUGAGUAACACGUGGAUAACCUACCUAUAAGACUGGGAUAACUUCGGGAAACCGGAGCUAAUACCGGAUAAUAUAUUGAACCGCAUGGUUCAAUAGUGAAAGACGGUUUUGCUUUCACUUAUAGAUGGAUCCGCGCCGCAUUAGCUAGUUGGUAAGGUAACGGCUUACCAAGGCAACGAUGCGUAGCCGACCUGAGAGGGUGAUCGGCCACACUGGAACUGAGACACGGCCCAGACUCCUACGGGAGGCAGCAGUAGGGACUCCUCCGCAAUGGGCGAAAGCCUGACGGAGCAAAGCCGCGUGAGUGAUGAAGGUCUUCGGAUCGUAAAACUCUGUUAUUAGGGAAGAACAAAUGUGUAAGUAACUAUGCACGUCUUGACGGUACCUAAUCAGAAAGCCACGGCUGACUACGUG